Molecule: long non-coding RNA, 340 nt
Filed under: Daucus carota (carrot)
Lineage: Eukaryota; Viridiplantae; Streptophyta; Magnoliopsida; Apiales; Apiaceae
Description: long non-coding RNA (DCAR_LNC003686)
Source: RNAcentral
AGAGAUGCACUAAGGUGUGUAAUUUAAUGCUCAAGAUUCAAAGAUCAAUUCGUUCGCAUAUAUGAAAAUAAUAAGCAACUGCUUUUUGACAAAGGUUGGCUAAUUGGGUGCACAAUUAGUUGAGCAUGGAUGGUGAAACACAACUUCCCACAAUGGAAUUUGUUUUGUUGUUAACUAUGUUCAACCGGCUGCUUCUGAGGGAAUUUGUUGUUGAAAAAUUAUUGUACCUUAUUUUAUUUUCAGCUUGCUUAUUAGUUUGUGUAACUGCUUAGAACAGACUAUUUCCUACUUUGUACCAUGCUGUGUUUCCUUGCUCUGAGAUUUGCUAUCAUGGCUUGCU